UAAGCGAACAGUGCGCCGACCUGCGUAGCAUGCACUGUAACUUGUAAGUUGUGCAGUGCGCUGUUCACGAUUUCAUACCACACAAAGGAAUGACUGCAUGCGUCGCUGAUCUCCACAAAAUUAGCAACGGCGGAGCAAGGAAGCCAACUAAGAAAGAAGUAAUGAUUAUCGGCAAUGGCUUCUAUUUCCUGCAUGAAAUGUUUUCCAGGAGGAAAUGUAUACUGGUCGCUCAUGCAAGCUUCAUUUCACACUAUGGCUUUUACUAUAAUAUAAAAUAGGAAUAACGAACACUGAGUGUUUGAGCCGGCUGUAUGCUGGAUAGCCUCCAACAACACUGACAGAAGUUAGUAGUGAAUGGUCGUGUUUGAGCCGACUGUAUGCUGGACAACCUCCAACAACACUGACAAAAGUUAGUAGUCAAUGGUCGUGUUUGAGCCGGCUGUAUGCUGGACAUCCUCCUAAAACAAUGACAGAAGUUAGUAGUGAAUGGUCGUGUUUGAGCCGACUGUAUGCUGGACAACUUCCAAUAACACUCACAAAAGUUAAUAGUCAAUGGUCAUGUUUGAGCCGGCUGUAUGAUGGACACCUCGAAAAACACUGACAAUAGUUAGUUGUCAAUGGUCGUGUUUGAGCCGGCUGUAUGCUGGACAUCCUCCAAAAACACUGACAAUAGUUAGUAGUGAAUGGUGUUUGAGCCAGCUGUAUGCUGGAAAGCCUCCAAAAAUGGUCGAUAAACCAGCCAGGGGCCUUGAGUAAUAGAAGUGACCUAGGCCUCUCUGAACCUCUAAGAGGCCUGUGACCAUCAAUAGAACUGUUGAUUCUCCGGUUAUUCUUCUCCUAUUCUUACUACGUUGUGACUACGCUUUGUUCCCAUCAGUCGUGAUGUGAUGACCCACCCCGGAUUUAGCGUGUUGGUCAAGUGCAAGUGGGACUUCUAUUGUCAAAGUGUCCGCAGUUGGUGGGAGAAGGUAUAUGGCGAUUCACGGUUCGCAGAGAAUUUCCGAAAUCCACCAAAUUUUCUAACGCACUUUUUGUCACUUAUAGUCUUUUAUAUUCUUUUGUGUGUGUUUUGCAGCCCGAGAUAAAGACGCCGUUUGCAAUCAGUUAUUUACACAACUUUUUCUUUCAAUGAAAUAUAAUUAAUUCACAGAACACAAAGAGAGAGAAAAAAAAAAGAAACUCACACUAACAAAAUCGGAAAAUCGAGCAAACAAUAACCUCAAAAUGAUGAUAGUUGACAGACACAUUUCUUAAAAAGAUUUCAGUGAUAGUUUACUCGGCAAAAUUACCAUCACUUCCACCACCUAUUAUGUUUGUUGUUGUUUUAAUUAGUUAAAGUGAUACAGUCAUGCGGGAGGUUGCUGGACAAUGGUGCCUUUGCAUUUACGGAACAAGCGGCCUAGAAUUUUUAGAUGAAGGCAGUAAGUAAAUACGUUAUUAAUAAAAAUGACUUAUCUGAAACAGA
Molecule: RNA transcript, 1465 nt
Organism: Limulus polyphemus (Atlantic horseshoe crab)
Lineage: Eukaryota; Metazoa; Arthropoda; Merostomata; Xiphosura; Limulidae
Exons: 3
Source: RefSeq, a predicted model, not a curated record